CCUACGGGUGGCAGCAGUGAGGAAUAUUGGUCAAUGGGCGCGAGCCUGAACCAGCCAAGCAGCGUGAAGGAUGACUGCCCUACGGGUUGUAAACUUCUUUUAUAAAGGAAUAAAGUGAGGCACGUGUGCCUUUUUGUAUGUACUUUAUGAAUACGGAUAGGCUAACUCCGUGCCAGCAGCCGCGGUAAUACGGAGGAUCCGAGCGUUAUCCGGAUUUAUUGGGUUUAAAGGGAGCGUAGAUGGGUUGUUAAGUCAGUUGUGAAAGUCUGCGGCUCAACCGUAAAAUUGCAAUUGAUACUGGCAGCCUUGAGUACAGUAGAGGAAGGCGGAAUUCGUGGUGUAGCGGUGAAAUGCGUAGAUAUCACGAAGAACUCCGAUUGCGAAGGCAGCUUACUAAACUGCCACUGACAUUGAUGCUCGAAAGUGUGGGUAUCAAACAGGAUUAGAUACCCGAGUAGUC
Molecule: ribosomal RNA, 460 nt
Filed under: uncultured bacterium
Lineage: Bacteria
Description: partial 16S ribosomal RNA
Rfam family: Bacterial small subunit ribosomal RNA
Source: RNAcentral